Molecule: ribosomal RNA, 253 nt
Filed under: uncultured bacterium
Lineage: Bacteria
Description: partial 16S ribosomal RNA
Rfam family: Bacterial small subunit ribosomal RNA
Source: RNAcentral
UACGUAGGGCGCAAGCGUUAUCCGGAAUUAUUGGGCGUAAAGCGCUCGUAGGCGGUUUGUCGCGUCUGCCGUGAAAGUCCGGGGCUCAACUCCGGAUCUGCGGUGGGUACGGGCAGACUAGAGUGAUGUAGGGGAGACUGGAAUUCCUGGUGUAGCGGUGAAAUGCGCAGAUAUCAGGAGGAACACCGGUGGCGAAGGCGGUUCUCUGGGCAUGACCUGACGCUGAGGAGCGAAAGUGUGGGGAGCGAACAGG